Molecule: unclassified non-coding RNA, 1082 nt
Filed under: Hevea brasiliensis (rubber tree)
Lineage: Eukaryota; Viridiplantae; Streptophyta; Magnoliopsida; Malpighiales; Euphorbiaceae
Source: RNAcentral
UUGCAAUGUCCAGAAUUUGUUAAUGGUAAACACUUAUUUUAUGACCUAUACAAGGCACAAAAUGAAAGUGCAAUGUAGGUUCAAAAAAGUACAAGUCGGCUUACGCAUACGCGCACACAAAAAAUUCAAUAAAAAGAGAACGUCUUACGAUACAACAAACACUUGACUCACAGACAAGGAUGAAGGAUAGGAAGGAAAAAAAAGAGCACACCACAAAGCAAAAAGGUUACAAAAGGAGUGUUACUUGUGGCCUAUAUUUAUUAACCUACUAGUAAUACAUAGGCCAUAUUUUGCUCCUCAGUCUACGAGGUAUUAGCAGCCAUUUCCAACUAUUGUUCCCCCUUCCUUUCAACGCGAUACUCACCCAUCCGCCACUAAACUUACUGUUUUGACAACUCAAUUGUCUUAGACCAAGCUGGCCUAGCCAAAAUAUCAGCAACCCAAGCGCUAACAUGAGGCCUAGCAUCGAACAAGCUCUUCACUUUACUCCCCGACAAGUAGUGCAAAGACGGGGCGUGGUGCAAAUCAGCUAGGGUGAAACUCUCACCACCCAAAUAUUUCGAUUCCUUGAGUCUAGAUUCAUACACAUCAAGAAGUUUCCCGAGUUUCUCUUCGUUCUCUGCCACGACUGCAUCAUCAGUCACCAUGCCCAACAUUGGCUUAAUGACAAUCUCAAACCCUAGUUUUGAACCAAUGGGGUCGAAUUUCUGGGCUUCUACUUCCAUCCAUACAGACAUGACUGCCAUUUUCUUUGGGUCAUUGGGUAAAAGUUGGUUCCCUUUGUCUGCAUAUGUGUGAGCUAUGUAUUGUGUAAUAGCUCUUGACUCAAAAAGCUUUAAAUCUCCAUCUUCAAAAGCUGGAACUUGACCAAACGGAUUUAGAGAAAUGAAUGGUUCCUUUUUGUGAUCACCAGCUUGCAUAUUAACAGGAACAAGUUCAAAAUCAAGAUCUUUCUCUUUGAGUGUAGCUACGACUCUCAUAACAGCAGGGGACAUCAUAGGGCCAUGAACCUUGAUCGCCAUUUUUGUUUUCUAGAGAGAGAAAGUGAAAGUAGAAAAUGAAAUUUGUGUGUGAGAUGUGAG